This 245-nucleotide ribosomal RNA is filed under the name uncultured bacterium. Its description in RNAcentral is "partial 16S ribosomal RNA". It matches the Rfam family "Bacterial small subunit ribosomal RNA", at positions 42 to 305 of the family's 1533-position model. The record is from RNAcentral.
GCAUGCCUAACACAUGCAAGUCGAACGCUAUUUAUAGAGUGGCGGACGGGUGAGUAACGCGUAGGAAUCUGCCCAGUAGUGGGGGACAACUCGGGGAAACUCGAGCUAAUACCGCAUACGCCCUACGGGGGAAAGUGGGGGAUCUUCGGACCUCACGCUAUUGGAUGAGCCUGCGUCGGAUUAGCUAGUUGGUAGGGUAAAGGCCUACCAAGGCGACGAUCCGUAGCUGGUCUGAGAGGACGGCC